GUGUUUUUUGGACUAAAAUGAUAAAUGCUUGAUAGUAACUGUGGCAUUAAGCAUACAACAGUUCCUGCAGCAGAAGUUUCAGCAAAAGACACAAACAUGAAUUGUUUUUAGCACUAAUAAAAGCUAGUCUUCAAAAUCAAUCAGACAUUGAAAUCUUUGCUUCCACCUCCCACCCUGUAUCAGUAUCGGCUGGGUCAAGAACAGAGACACAAAUCAGUCAACUAGUACCUCAUCAGAAGACCUUGUUUCCAACUGAUUUGAUGGUUGUUUGCAGCUUUACAAGCCUCUUGCCACAAAGGUUGGAUUCUCAAAUGGGGAGAAUUACAUUAAACAAGGUGGAUAGACGAAGCAAGAUUGGAAUCAAGCUUAGUUAUGUCAACUGAGCUUAUGGUUUUUAGGUGAUGUGACACACAAAGUUUUAAAUUUAAAGACACUGAGAGCAUGGCAAAUAACUAAUCCUAUUGGGAAUCUAACAGCUGAUACUACAGAAGAGAAGAUAUUAAAAUCAAGGAAGAAGAGGAUAUGUCAUGGAUUUUUGGAUAAAGAAAAUAGAGCUAGAUACUAAGCUCCAUAUGAGCAAAUGUUUUCAAA
This 591-nucleotide unclassified non-coding RNA is filed under the name Hevea brasiliensis (rubber tree). Lineage: Eukaryota; Viridiplantae; Streptophyta; Magnoliopsida; Malpighiales; Euphorbiaceae. The record is from RNAcentral.